This 253-nucleotide ribosomal RNA is filed under the name uncultured bacterium. RNAcentral's name for it is "partial 16S ribosomal RNA". It matches the Rfam family "Bacterial small subunit ribosomal RNA", at positions 524 to 776 of the family's 1533-position model. The record is from RNAcentral.
UACGAAGGGGGCUAGCGUUGCUCGGAAUCACUGGGCGUAAAGGGUGCGUAGGCGGGUCUUUAAGUCCGGGGUGAAAUCCUGGAGCUCAACUCCAGAACUGCCUUUGAUACUGAAGAUCUUGAGUUCGGGAGAGGGGAGUGGAACUGCGAGUGUAGAGGUGAAAUUCGUAGAUAUUCGCAAGAACACCAGUGGCGAAGGCGGCUCACUGGCCCGAUACUGACGCUGAGGCACGAAAGCGUGGGGAGCAAACAGG